UUCAUGAUUUUUCUUCCCUCUCUUCACUUAGUUGUUGCUUCUGCGAAAAAUGAUGAUCGGAGUUGAGGCCGAUCAUUCUUUUGUCCUUUUUGAUCUGAUUUUGCAGUGUAUUCAAGUCUUCAUUGAUUUUUGCAGCUCUAAUCUCAUGUUUGUUGUUGUUGCUGAGCACAAAUAUGGACUAUUGAUGAUGUCGGAGCUCCGACGGCUUGUGUUGUUCCAUCUCUCUUCCUUUCCAUCAGGUACAUUCCCAAAUUCUUGAUUUCUCCAUUGCACAUAUCUUUUAAAUUCCUCCGUAUCUCUGUCUUGUUGACAAUUAUUGAAGCUCUGCCUUUUCUGCCUA
Lycium ferocissimum is the source of this 340-nucleotide long non-coding RNA. RefSeq lists it as uncharacterized. Lineage: Eukaryota; Viridiplantae; Streptophyta; Magnoliopsida; Solanales; Solanaceae. The record is from RefSeq and is a predicted model, not a curated record. The transcript has 2 exons.